Canis lupus familiaris (dog) is the source of this 3428-nucleotide long non-coding RNA. RefSeq lists it as uncharacterized. The transcript has 3 exons. NCBI's taxonomy places the organism in Eukaryota, Metazoa, Chordata, Mammalia, Carnivora, Canidae. The record is from RefSeq and is a predicted model, not a curated record.
GGCCCGCAGCGCUCCAGCCCGGACCCCCGCGGCCUCGCCCACCCCGAGCGCUUAGGUGUGCUGGGCCCCCCUGCGCACGGGGAAACUGAGGCUCGCGGGGGCAUCAGGGCUGCACCGAGGCCGCCCCCCGAAGGCGGCUGGAGCCCUGGGCUGCGGGGGGUGCAGAGGGUGCAUGCACGCGUCCAGGGGCUGCACCAGGUGCCUCGGGGGCCUGGCCGUGGCUCUCCAGGCAGCAGGGAGCUUUGCAGGGUUUCAGGCAGGAAGUAAUAUCUGAUUUGUGUUCUUUAAAAAAAAAAAAAAGACAACCUUGCGGUAGGAAGUGAAAGCAGAAGCAGAGCAACUUUCAUUUUUUCUGGUGUCCCUUUGAUCGUCACCGCAAGGCAGGGGGCAGGUCGGGCUCACAGGCCUUUUGAGAGGUGAACUCCCUGAAGCUCAGAAAAGGUAGCCCAAGCAUUCCGCGCUCAGAAGCUGUAAUCUGACUCUACUUAGGACAGAAGCAGGACAUCGAAGUUGGUGAGGAAGUGAGUCUCUGAAUGUGACUGAGCCCCAGGGCCUUUGUAUGCACCACAACAACGGCUGCACCUGGAGCUCCCUUCCCCCUGCUUGGAACUUGUCACUCCCUCACUUGUUCAGGCUUACAGGCCACCACCUCCGAUGCCUGGUGACCGCUCAAUGCUGUGUGACUCCUGAGUCGAAGCUGCAGGAGAUGGUGAGGCUUUCUCAUCACCUUCUAAGCACGCCUGGAAGAGGAGGCCGCGUGGAAGAGCACGGAACCACCCUGGCUGGCAAAGCUGCCACCUGCCACCUGCCAGACACGUGGGUGAGGCUGUGCCUGACCACCCAGCCCUAGUCAAGUGUUCAGCCAGCCAUGGCCGCCAGAGACCCAGAGAGACCAGCACAACCGUGGAGCUGCACCAGCCCAAACUGGCCAACCAGAGAAUCAUGAGCAAAUGAAAUACUUGUGGUUAUAAGCCUCUGGAUUUUGGCAUAGUUACACAGCCAUAGGUAACUGGUACGUCGGACUUCCUCAUCCUCGCCAGGGCGCAUUCAAAACUGCGGCUCUUGAGGGCAGCUUUGAUUAUUCUUCUGCUUAAUAAAAGCAGAGAAUCCGGAAAGGACGAGAGAAAGAAAUGGUGCAAACACACAAAGAGGAGAAAAGGUAGACAUAGGAAAUGAGCAGCAGGUUGUCCAACAGAGGCCCCCCCCUUGCCCCCUGAGCAUACUUGGUGGUGCCUAGGAGCUCAGGUUCAGGCUCCAUGACAAUGGAGCAGGCCCAGGCUCAAGUACAACUGUUUGCCGGGGUCCGAGGCCAAGCAAGUUGCAUUACGUCAUGGCUCAUCGCUAAUAGAAUUUAUAGAGAACCAACAUCAGGUUGUUGUGGGGAGAAAAUGAACCAUUCUUGUGAAAACACUCAGCAGAGUGCUUGGCACAAUGUACCCUCAACAAGGGUUAUUGAUUAGCGAUGGCAUUACUGUGCGGGUUAUUGUUAAUCUUGAUCAUGGAGGGGGUAUUCAAAGGACCAUCCGGAGCGUGGUGGUAACAAAAGCUGAUUUUAUUCAGCUGUGUGGGUCAGAUGCUGUAUCCACGGUCUCCAGACCUCACAGCAAUCCUGCAGCACGGACAUGUUAACAUCGUCCUCGUUUCAUUGUUGAGAAAACCGUGACAAAGAAGGAAGCCAUGAGACAGGUAGUAGGGCUGGAACUCAAAGCCAGUCUGUCCCGCUGCAAAGCAUGCACUCCUCCCUCUGCCUGUGCGGCCUCUGCUACACUCCCACAAAACACAAAACACACAAGAGCAUGUGGCUUCUCCCCUUCCUGCACUGCGCCAGACCGGCUGAGCACUGACCUUAUGGGGGAGGCAUUCAGGAAGGGCUUCCUGUAUAUUGGCCAAGCAGCUGCACAGACCCUGGGAGCACUUCCCCCCUGAAAAGCAUCCUUCCACCUCCCUGGGCUGAUGAGGGCUUGUCCCAAGGAGGGACUUGCUCAUAGUGGAAACAGAAAUACACUCUAAGGCUGGGGGUGGAGGCACCGUAAGGAGGAAGCACAGUACGAAGCUGAUGUCACCGAGGAGAUACCGAAACCCAAAUUAUUGCCCGCAUCGUGGCACUGACCAACCUGCAGACCCACACGGAGAAAUUGGAAUGAGAAAAAGAAGGAUCUAGGAGACUGGUGACUGGGGUACUUGUAGAUCCAGUAACAUGUGCCUCUGGGAGAUGUGGGCGUGCCACAUGGCCCCCCAGGCAUGCUGGCCCUGAAUCCAGACACUGGUCAGGGAAGAGGGACACGCUGCCGCAGAAGAGAGAAAGGAGUCUGACCCGGAGAAAACCCCAGCUCCCUCAGUGGCCUAGGUAGGGCCACUCUACCUCUCUGAGUCUCAACUUCCUCAUCUGUAAAAUGGGGAGAGGAAGAGGGGGAGGCUGCAAGAACAGAAGGGAAGGGAAAGACCCUCAAAGGGGAAGCAGGGCAAAGGAGGGACAGUUUGAGGGACCGGAAGCCAGAUCGCCUCCUUCAAUGUCUGGCCAGUGUAAGGGCAAGAUGGGCCACAAUCACCAUGUGCUUCUUGCCCAAGAGGGAACAUUCUGGACUUCCAGGAUUACUAGGCUAUUUAUGCAGGUUUUACUGUAUGUUUGAAAUUUCACUUUCCACGGGAAUUUAAUGUAGGGAUGUAGGACUGUGGGACUAUUAACACCUCUAAGGGAGGGUGAGGUGGGGUCAUAUCCCCCCAGUGGCACCCGCAGUGGGCACACCUCUCUUGAGGGGACAUGUGAACAAUUUGCCCCAGGUGUGGGUCCAUCCUCAGCUGGUGCUGGGGAUGCCCCGGCCACUCCUGCUCUCACAGAUCUCCCCACUCCUCGCCCCACCAUGGUGUUCCAGGUCCCUUUGAUACAGAGGACACUAGCUGGACCUCUUCCAGGCCCCAUCCAAAGGCUCAGCCCGAGGGGCUAGCAGCGAACACAGGAGCCCACCUAUGGGGCUCUCUUAGGGAUAAGUGGGCUGCACACCCACUUCCCGGUACUCACAACCCCUCCCCCAGCACACAGAAGGGAAACCCCUUCCUUGUACGUGCUCAGCAGGUCCGGGAUGGGGACAACUCCCCAGCCUUCAAACCUGAAAUGCCCCCUUUGGUCUGGAAAACAGCUAAGACUCAAUUAGCACCUCUCCAGAGCACCCACAUACCCUGCACCUGCUAUUGCCCUGCACCAGCCUCUAGAAAAGAAAAGGUCUACAAUCUCUGGGAAAUUCUGCCCCAAACCAUUGCUUAUCUCAUUUAAUUGUCACAACUCCUUGCAUAAGUUCCAUUAAGAGCAUUUUUCCAGGAUCCCUGGGUGGCACAGUGGUUUGGCACCUGCCUUUGGCCCAGGGCACGAUCCUGGAGACCCAGGAUCGAAUCCCACGUCGGGCUCCCGGUGCAUGGAGCCUGCUUCUCCC